Molecule: ribosomal RNA, 1307 nt
Filed under: metagenome
Description: bacterial SSU rRNA
Rfam family: Bacterial small subunit ribosomal RNA
Source: RNAcentral
UGUUGGGUGGUGCCUUGGGAGGAGCCUAUAUUAGAUUAGCUUGUUGGUGAGGUAAAGGCUUACCAAGGCGACGAUCUAUAACUGUUCUGAGAGGAAGAUCAGUCACACUGGAACUGAGACACGGUCCAGACUCAUACGGGAGGCAGCAGUGGGGAAUAUUGGACAAUGGGGGAAACCCUGAUCCAGCGAUGCCGCGUGUGUGAAGAAGGCCCGAGGGUUGUAAAGCACUUUAAGCGUGGAAGAAGUGUAUUGGUCGAAUAAGCCGAUGCAUUGACGUUACACGCAGAAUAAGCACCGGCUAACUCUGUGCCAGCAGCCGCGGUAAUACAGAGGGUGCGAGCGUUAAUCGGAAUGACUGGGCGUAAAGGGCACGUAGGCGGAGGCAAAAGUUAGAUGUUAAAUACCAGGGCUUAACCUUGGAGCGCCACUUAAUACUAUGUCUCUAGAGUACAGUAGAGGGUAGUGGAAUUUCCGGUGUAGCGGUGAAAUGCGUAGAUAUCGGAAGGAACACCAGUUGCGAAGGCGGCUACCUGGACUGAUACUGACGCUGAGGUGCGAAAGCGUGGGGAGCGAACAGGAUUAGAUACCCUGGUAGUCCACGCCGUAAACGAUGAGUACUAGCUGUUGGAAGGCGACGACCUUUUAGUGGCGCAGUUAACGCAAUAAGUACUCCGCCUGGGGAUUACGGCCGCAAGGCUAAAACUCAAAGGAAUUGACGGGGGCCCGCACAAGCGGUGGAGCAUGUGGUUUAAUUCGAUGCAACGCGAAGAACCUUACCUACUCUUGACAUCUGCUGAAGCUUUGAGAGAUCGAAGUGUGCCCGAAAGGGAACAGCAUGACAGGUGCUGCAUGGCUGUCGUCAGCUCGUGUUGUGAGAUGUUGGGUUAAGUCCCGUAACGAGCGCAACCCCUGUCCUUAGUUGCUAGUUGUACUUCGGUGCAGCGCACUCUAAGGAGACUGCCGGUGAUAAACCGGAGGAAGGUGGGGAUGACGUCAAGUCAUCAUGGCCUUUAUGAGUAGGGCAACACACGUGCUACAAUGGUACGUACAGAGGGCAGCGAAGCGGCGACGUGGAGCAAAUCCUUUAAAGCGUAUCGUAGUCCGGAUUGUAGUCUGCAACUCGACUACAUGAAGUCGGAAUCGCUAGUAAUCGCGAAUCAGAAUGUCGCGGUGAAUACGUUCCCGGGCCUUGUACACACCGCCCGUCACACCAUGGAAGUGGGUUGUACCAGAAGUAGGUAGGAUAACCGUAAGGAGUCCGCUUACCACGGUAUGAUUCAUGACUAGGGUGAAGUCGGAACAAGGUA